This 73-nucleotide transfer RNA is filed under the name Dictyostelium intermedium. Its description in RNAcentral is "tRNA-Trp". It matches the Rfam family "tRNA". From Rfam's summary of the family: Transfer RNA (tRNA) molecules are approximately 80 nucleotides in length. Their secondary structure includes four short double-helical elements and three loops (D, anti-codon, and T loops). Further hydrogen bonds mediate the characteristic L-shaped molecular structure. tRNAs have two regions of fundamental functional importance: the anti-codon, which is responsible for specific mRNA codon recognition, and the 3' end, to which the tRNAs corresponding amino acid is attached (by aminoacyl-tRNA synthetases). tRNAs cope with the degeneracy of the genetic code in two manners: having more than one tRNA (with a specific anti-codon) for a particular amino acid; and 'wobble' base-pairing, i.e. permitting non-standard base-pairing at the 3rd anti-codon position. Lineage: Eukaryota; Evosea; Eumycetozoa; Dictyosteliales; Dictyosteliaceae. The record is from RNAcentral.
AAAGGGAAAUAGUUUAAUAGUAAAAUACAAGUCUCCAAAACUUUAGAUAUCAGUGCAAUUCUGAUUUUCCCUG